Molecule: ribosomal RNA, 528 nt
Filed under: uncultured marine eukaryote
Lineage: Eukaryota
Description: bacterial SSU rRNA
Rfam family: Eukaryotic small subunit ribosomal RNA
Source: RNAcentral
CUGGUUGAUCCUGCCAGUAGCAUAUGCUUAUCUUGGAGAUUAAGCCAUGCAUGUCUAAGUUUAAGUAUUUAACGGCGAAAUUGCGAAUGGCUCAUUAAAACAGUUAUAGUAUAUUUGAUAAUGUUUUUACAUGAAUAACCGUGGGAAACUAGAGCUAAUACAUGCAUAAAGGCCUUCGGGUUGUAUUUAUUAGCUAUAACCUUUCGCUUUGCGUAUAGAGGAAUCAUAAUAACUGAUCGGAGCGCACUAAAGCUGCGCUAAAUCUUUCUAGUUUCUGCCCUAUCAGCUUGAUGGUAGUGUAUUGGACUACCAUGGCUAUCACGGGUAACGGAGAAUUGGGGUUCGAUUCCGGAGAAGGAGCCUGAGAAACGGCUACUACAUCUACGGGAGGCAGCAGGCGCGUAAAUUACCCAAUCCUGACUCAGGGAGGUAGUCACAAGAAAUAGUAUACCAGAGACUAACAUCUCUAGUUUUGCAAUGGAUUUAGUUUAAAGCCUUAUUUGAAAUCUAUUGGAGGGCAAGUCUGGU